Tripterygium wilfordii is the source of this 415-nucleotide long non-coding RNA. RefSeq lists it as uncharacterized. The transcript is spliced from 4 exons. The record is from RefSeq and is a predicted model, not a curated record. Lineage: Eukaryota; Viridiplantae; Streptophyta; Magnoliopsida; Celastrales; Celastraceae.
AAUUUGGACUUAUUCUCAUUUCUUUGACAGAAGAAAGGCCGAGAGAGAGAGAAAUAGAGAGAGAGUGAUGAUUUUGAAGGAGAUCAAGGAGAAGAAAGGUUGAAUCAAGGGUUUGGAACUUGUAUAAGCUUGGCUUUCAAGAUUUCUUCAAGAUUGAGAUUUGAGCUUGGAUUGAAGUGUGGAGAUAGGAGGAGAAGGGAUUGAGCAAGGGUUUGAAGAAUUUAGUAAGGUUAUUUGAACUUGGAGAAGUGGUUGCUAGAGUUGUGGUGAGGUUUUUGCUCAAACGAGGUGAUAUAGGUACUAGCGCUAGUGCUUCGACUACGGAUAAGCGGGGAGGAGCGUGACGCGGAUGGCCUGGACUUGUGAUGGUUUGGUUGGUGUGGUGUUUAUGUGGUGAUGCUUAAUUGGUCUUUUG